RNAcentral lists this ribosomal RNA (1530 nucleotides) under Enteractinococcus lamae. RNAcentral describes it as "16S ribosomal RNA". It matches the Rfam family "Bacterial small subunit ribosomal RNA". Lineage: Bacteria; Bacillati; Actinomycetota; Actinomycetes; Micrococcales; Micrococcaceae. The record is from RNAcentral.
CAGAGUUUGAUCCUGGCUCAGGAUGAACGCUGGCGGCGUGCUUAACACAUGCAAGUCGAACGCUGAAGCUCCCAGCUUGCUGGGGGUGGAUGAGUGGCGAACGGGUGAGUAUCACGUGAGGAACCUGCCCUGAACUUUGGGAUAAGCCCGGGAAACUGGGUCUAAUACCGAAUAGGACCGACCAUCGCAUGGUGGUUGGUGGAAAGCUUUUGCGGUUUGGGAUGGUCUCGCGGCCUAUCAGCUUGUUGGUGGGGUAAUGGCCUACCAAGGCGUUGACGGGUAGCCGGCCUGAGAGGGUGACCGGCCACACUGGGACUGAGACACGGCCCAGACUCCUACGGGAGGCAGCAGUGGGGGAUAUUGCACAAUGGGGGAAACCCUGAUGCAGCGACGCCGCGUGAGGGAUGACGGCCUUCGGGUUGUAAACCUCUUUCAGUUGGGAAGAAGCCCCUUUGGGGGUGACGGUACCUUCAGAAGAAGCACCGGCUAACUACGUGCCAGCAGCCGCGGUAAUACGUAGGGUGCGAGCGUUAUCCGGAAUUAUUGGGCGUAAAGAGCUCGUAGGCGGUUUGUCACGUCUGCUGUGAAAGCCCAGGGCUUAACCCUGGGUUUGCAGUGGGUACGGGCAGGCUGGAGUGCAGUAGGGGAGACUGGAAUUCCUGGUGUAGCGGUGAAAUGCGCAGAUAUCAGGAGGAACACCGAUGGCGAAGGCAGGUCUCUGGGCUGUUACUGACGCUGAGGAGCGAAAGCAUGGGGAGCGAACAGGAUUAGAUACCCUGGUAGUCCAUGCCGUAAACGUUGGGCACUAGGUGUGGGGAUCAUUUCCACGAUUUCCGCGCCGUAGCUAACGCAUUAAGUGCCCCGCCUGGGGAGUACGGCCGCAAGGCUAAAACUCAAAGGAAUUGACGGGGGCCCGCACAAGCGGCGGAGCAUGCGGAUUAAUUCGAUGCAACGCGAAGAACCUUACCAAGGCUUGACAUACACUGGAUCGCCACAGAGAUGUGGUUUCCCUUCGGGGUCAGUGUACAGGUGGUGCAUGGUUGUCGUCAGCUCGUGUCGUGAGAUGUUGGGUUAAGUCCCGCAACGAGCGGAACCCCUAUUCUAUGUUGCCAGCACGUUAUGGUGGGGACUCAUGGGAGACUGCCGGGGUCAACUCGGAGGAAGGUGGGGACGACGUCAAAUCAUCAUGCCCCUUAUGUCUUGGGCUUCACGCAUGCUACAAUGGCCGGCACAAUGGGUUGCGAGAUCGUGAGGUUGAGCUAAUCCCAUAAAACCGGUCUCAGUUCGGAUUGGGGUCUGCAACUCGACCCCAUGAAGUCGGAGUCGCUAGUAAUCGCAGAUCAGCAACGCUGCGGUGAAUACGUUCCCGGGCCUUGUACACACCGCCCGUCAAGUCACGAAAGUUGGUAACACCCGAAGCCGGUGGCCCAACCACGUUUACGUGGGGGGAGCCGUCGAAGGUGGGACCGGUGAUUGGGACUAAGUCGUAACAAGGUAGCCGUACCGGAAGGUGCGGCUGGAUCACCUCCU